GGGGGAUAUUGCACAAUGGGGGAAACCCUGAUGCAGCGACGCCGCGUGGAGGAAGAAGGUUUUCGGAUUGUAAACUCCUGUCGUAAGGGAAGAGGAAGGACUGUACCUUACAAGAAAGCUCCGGCUAACUACGUGCCAGCAGCCGCGGUAAUACGUAGGGAGCGAGCGUUGUCCGGAAUGACUGGGUGUAAAGGGAGCGUAGGCGGGAUGGCAAGUCAGAUGUGAAACCUGAGGGCUCAACCUUCAGACUGCAUUUGAAACUGCUGUUCUUGAGUGAAGUAGAGGUAAGCGGAAUUCCUGGUGUAGCGGUGAAAUGCGUAGAGAUCAGGAGGAACAUCGGUGGCGAAGGCGGCUUACUGGGCUUUUACUGACGCUGAGGCUCGAAAGCGUGGGGAGCAAACAGGAUUAGAUACCCUGGUAGUCCACGCUGUAAACGAUGAUUACUAGGUGUGGGGGGAUUGACCCCUUCCGUGCCGCAGUUAACACAAUAAGUAAUCCACCUGGGGAGUACGACCGCAAGGUUGAAACUCAAAGGAAUUGACGGGGGCCCGCACAAGCAGUGGAGUAUGUGGUUUAAUUCGAAGCAACGCGAAGAACCUUACCAGGUCUUGACAUCGAGUGACGUAUCCAGAGAUGGAUAUUUCCUUCGGGACACAAAGACAGGUGGUGCAUGGUUGUCGUCAGCUCGUGUCGUGAGAUGUUGGGUUAAGUCCCGCAACGAGCGCAACCCUUAUCAUUAGUUGCUACGCAAGAGCACUCUAAUGAGACUGCCGUUGACAAAACGGAGGAAGGUGGGGAUGACGUCAAAUCAUCAUGCCCCUUAUGACCUGGGCUACACACGUACUACAAUGGCGUUAAACAAAGAGAAGCAAGACCGCGAGGUGGAGCAAAACUCAGAAACAACGUCCCAGUUCGGACUGCAGGCUGCAACUCGCCUGCACGAAGUCGGAAUUGCUAGUAAUCGCAGAUCAGCAUGCUGCGGUGAAUACGUUCCCG
Molecule: ribosomal RNA, 996 nt
Filed under: uncultured bacterium
Lineage: Bacteria
Description: bacterial SSU rRNA
Rfam family: Bacterial small subunit ribosomal RNA
Source: RNAcentral